AUUGAACGCUGGCGGAAUGCUUUACACAUGCAAGUCGAACGGCAGCACGGACUUCGGUCUGGUGGCGAGUGGCGAACGGGUGAGUACUGUAUCGGAACGUGCCCAGUCGUGGGGGAUAACGUAGUGAAAAUUACGCUAAUACCGACUACGAUCUAUGGAUGAAAGCGGGGGAUCGACAGACCCCGCGCGAUUGGAGCGGCCGAUAUCAGAUUAGGUAGUCGGUGGGGUGAAGGCCCACCAAGCCAACGAUCCGGGGCUGGUCUGAGCGGACGGCCAGCGAGACGGGAACGGAGACACGGUCCAGACGCCUACGGGAGGAGGCAGUGGGGAAUUUUGGACAAUGGGUGAAAGCCUGAUCCAGCCAUUCCGCGGGCAGGAUGAAGGCCCUCGGUUGUAAACUGCUUUGUACAGAACGAAAAGGUUUCUACUAAUACUAGGAGCUCAUGACGGUACUGUAAGAAUAAGCACCGGCUAACUACGUGCCAGCAGCCGCCGUAA
RNAcentral lists this ribosomal RNA (498 nucleotides) under uncultured bacterium. RNAcentral's name for it is "partial 16S ribosomal RNA". It matches the Rfam family "Bacterial small subunit ribosomal RNA", at positions 30 to 523 of the family's 1533-position model. The record is from RNAcentral.